RNAcentral lists this long non-coding RNA (5870 nucleotides) under Triticum aestivum (bread wheat). RNAcentral's name for it is "long non-coding RNA (TAES_LNC000195)". The record is from RNAcentral. Lineage: Eukaryota; Viridiplantae; Streptophyta; Magnoliopsida; Poales; Poaceae.
UUUGUUUUUUUUCUUUUCGAAUCGUUAUCCUCUAAUUAGUGAACGCUCCUGAGAUUAGAUCUGGACCGAACGGUUUUCAUUCAUUAGCUUCCCAUAGUGAACGUUCGCUUUUUAAAUUUUUCCUUUUCUUUUUAAUUUCUGCCAGGGACCUAUUCGUAGUUUUAUUUUUUAGAGAUUAGUCCCUCUGUUUCAAACCAUCACAACUUCUUGCCAGUUUAUCCAAAUCCAACAAAACCUGCGCCAAUUUCUUCGUUAUAAUCCCCUCUAUCCAGUAAUCCAACUCAAACAAGUUUUUGAAAUUUUAAAUUUUGAAUUAGAUCAGAUUUGAAUUUGAAUCUUCUUUUGAUCGUAACUUGAGUUUCGUAGCUCCGAUUUAGUUGAUUCUUUUUGCAAAUCGAAGCUCUUGACCUAAACUUUCUGAUAAGGCCAAAUUCAUAUAAUUUUGGUACUGUUAGAAAUUGUUUUAUGUUGCAAGAGUUAUUUGUUUGGUUUUGAUGUUUUCCGAAUCGUCUUCUUCGUUCUUCCCGAUCUUUUGAGUGAUUGCUUAUGUAUGGUUACCAUUGCCUGCUUAUGAUAGAUUGACCGGAGUGUGAAGAGUAGAACUAUCAAGAGUUUGAGUGCGAAUCAUCUUCAUCAACAUUGCAGGCAAGUAACACUUUGAUCAUACCCCUUUACUACCCAGUUUUGUUGCAUUAGAUCAACCCUCAAACAUUGCAUGGUUAGGAUCUAAUUAAAUUGUGGGUAUCGGGAAGUAGUUGAGGUAGUACCUAUCACCUGUUUUAUUAUCAAACCCUUGGGAGUUACUUCUACGUUGCUUAUAUUGCUAUGCUAUGCUUGUAGACGUGGAUUGGGUUUGAGAGAUAUCCAUGACAGAUGUGAGAUUGUUAAUAUAUGGUUAAACUUAAGGUGGCAACUAAAACUCACAUCUGGGUGGAUUGAGGUACCUGGGUAUUCCAGGAUUGCCUGUUUUCUUUUGGACCGCCACCCAGGUUCAAAGGGAUAAUGAGAUUAUUCAUGCUAGAAACUUCCGUGUGCAGCCACAAGCUAUUAUGGGCUCUAUCAUAGUUGAUUAAGUUGUGUGAACUCUUACAGUGGUAGACUAGCAGAUGUAGGGGAUGUAGGUGUAUCGGUCUACCCAUCGUAAGGUGCUACCGCUUCUGAAAGACUGUGUCUCGGUCAUCCGUUUCUCAAACAUCAUGUAGUGCGAGAAUCAAGCGGAGGCGAUCGAGUCUUGUGGGGAAAAGUGCACAAACCUCUGCAGAGUGUACAAACUAAUCAUGAUUAGCCGUGUCCCCGGUUAUGGACAACUUGAGUAUCUGGUACUUGGAUUAUCAUGUUGAUCUCAUCAUGUUACUUUAAUUAAACUUGUUGGGUUAAUGAUGAUACUUAAUUGGGAUUGAGAUGCUGUCAACCAUCUCAAUGUUUCACAACCACCAUGAUAGUUAAAUAAAAUUUAUUCCUUUGCAGUAGGGAAAAAUCGGCUUUUCGCAAAAACAUUAUAACCAUAGAGCUUUUCCACUAGCCAUAUAUGCAUGUAGUGAUAGCCUUUGUUCAUCAUUUCUCUAUGGUGUGUAUUUGCCAGCAUAUUCCAUGUGCUGACCUGUUUUUCGGGCUGCAACGCUUCAUGUUGCAGGAUUCUUACGACGAGUGAGUGAUACGUUAGGGUUACGAGUUCUACACUCAACUUUGCCGUUGGUGUUGAUGGGAAUCCACAACCUUGUUACUUCCGCUAUUUGGAUUGAGGUAAUAGUAUUUACGUUACUUUAUACAUGUGAUUUACCUCUGUUAUAAAUCCUCGAGUACUGUGUGUGUCAGCAUACCGAUCCAGGGAUGACACUUAAGCACAGAGACUUGAUCCAUUCGGGUCGGGUCGCUACAAGAUGGUAUCAGAGCACAUGUUGACUGUAGGACGUGACCCUAGAAACUGGGAAGCCCAUAGGAAGGAUUUUCUCUAAAACCUUCUUUUUCAGAAAGAUCUUUUACCUCUUUUCUCUUCUGAGCAUAUUCAAACAUUCCCUUUAAGUGAGACCAUACCCCUUUUCCCUUUGGACCACUCGAAGAUUCGACGGAUGAGACCACUCCAAGGAGUACAAGAAAUCGGAUAACUAAGGCCAUUCGGAAUGAAGAGGAUUUUACCAUACAUUAUGACAAUGGAAACUAUAGUGGUUGAAGACUCCGAAGACUAGGAGAAUUUGAAGGCUCUGAAGAAUUCCCAGAUUUGACCUAGUAAGGCUACCCCUAUGGAACUUGGCAGACUAUGGAAGCUGUCAAUACCUGAGAUCAAGGUGUAUCGAAGAAAGACCGGAGCAUGGAGAGUUAAAAAACUCAAAGUUCUGUCAAGGAAAACCCUAAGGCAGGAGAUAUCAACUAUGGAGAGAUAGCUCAUGGAAAAGACAAGAGCAGAAACACGGCUAUCCAUGAUGUUAUCGCCCGCUUAUGCUAUUGUCACCGUGCUGAGUUAAGCAUGCAUAUGCAUGGAAGGAUUGGAUGGUAGAAGGCUGAUGGAGCACCUAUCAGCAAGAUGAAGUGUUAACCUUAGCCGGUGUAUCACCAGGAUCUGGAGUGUUACGUCAAGAAGUUAAGAUGGAGAUACAAGAAGCCAUAUUUGAAAGGAAGCAUUUCAUGAAGAACUCAGGACCUAGAAGCUGGAAGUAGCCAAGCUGGAGGAGCAAAAUUUCGAGAUACCGGAAAUUCGUCAGGAACUGAAGGACAGUAGGACUAUGGUUCAUGCCAAGGAUGUUGAAAUCUAGAAGUUUGGAAAGCAAUUAUUAAAGGACGCCACGAGAGACUUCGCGUCAACAGAGAUGAUAUGGCAAAAGAGCUUGAGAAGGACAAGCACGAUCGGAAGAAGCCAUCGGAGACAUGAACAAGAAUUGAAGAGUUUGGCGACUUUGAAGAUUUAUUGACCUUUAGAAGACCAAACCCCUGUUAUACACUUACGUUAGAUGUGACGUUUGUGAGCUGUCAUUUGUUUGAUGUUUUUCCGACAGCCACAAUAAAAAUCUGUCUUUUCAAAACUAUUGUUUGCAUUGUGUGUAUCCCUCUUGACCUCUCCUACCCCACUCCAAACCCAUGGACCCAAUAGAGGAUGAAUGAAGAUGAGCUUAUAUUUGGUGGACCGAUGAGUCAAUUGGAGACGGACCGAUGGAUACAGAACAUAAAUGAUCACAUGGAGAAUAACCUUAUAGCCGGAAAGGAUAUGACCCAACGUACUCUUGAGUGCUUUGAAAGAGGUGCCACUACCUGGUAGAGGAUGUACCAAACCAUCAAUGGAUGGCAAGGAGUAACCACUUGGAAGGAAUUUAAGUGGACUUUGUUAAAGUCUUGGCUUGUGUCCCAGAAAUUGAGGCCUUAUGGAAAGGAUAUGAAGAAACCUUGUGCAUACAAGCUUUGUGGAGAAAUAGGACACAACCAUAAAGAAAACAAGGACAAAUACCCUCAUAAGCGGAGGAUUGCCAAAGGAAUGAGCCGAGGAUCUCAGGGAACUUCGGUUGGAGAUUGUUCCCAAAGGUUUUGUUGCAGCAAUGGAAGUUCAGUCUACAUUGUUGGGAAAGAUCCGUGAAGCUCAGAAGGAUGACAAAGAGAUUGUCGAGAUAAAAGUGAGAAUGAGCAAAGGAAAGGCCAGAGGUUUUCGUAAGGAUGAACACGACACCUUAUGGUUCGAGGACCGUGUAUAUGUGCCCAAUAAUGCAAAGAUCAGGAAGUUAAUACUUCAGGAGGCUCAUGACUCACCAUACUCAAUUCGCCCUGGAAACACCAAGAUGUAUUUGUAUUUGAAGGAGCGUUUCUGGUGGACUGGUAUGAAGAAGGAUAUUGCGGAGUAUGUAGUCGUAGGUGAUGUAUGCCAGAGAGUAAAGGCAGAGUAUCAGAAGCCAACCGGAUUACUACAGCCCAUGCCGAUACCCGAAUGGAAGUAGGAUAAGCUUGGCAUGGAUUCCAUUACCGGAUUUCCCAGAACCCGAUCGGGAUAUGAUUCUAUCUGGGUAGUAGUUGAUUCGCUUGACCAAAGUGGCUCCCUUUAUCCCAGUGAAAACCACCUAUACAAGUGCGAAGUUGGCCAAGAUAUAUAUGACCAGGACCGUAUGUCUGCAUGGAGUUCCGAGGACCAUCGCAUCAGAUAGAGGAACAUAGUUUACCUCAAAGUUUUGGAAUUAGCUGCACCAGACUUUGGGUACUAGGCUAGAGUUCAGUACAGCCUUUCAUCCGCAGACAGAUGGAUAGACCGAGAGAGUCAAUCAGAUUCUGGAGGACAUGUUGAGAGCGUGUGCACUAGAUUAUGGAUCUAGUAGGGAUGAUAAUCUACCUUACGCGGAGUUCUCAUACAACAACAGUUACCAAGCCAGUUUGAAGAUGGCCCCUUUUGAAGCUUUGUAUGAGAGAAGAUGACAUGACUUCUUCCAUUUAUUUAAAUGAAAAGGGGUGUUGAAAAUAUUUGAAUAUCAUUUGAAAAUAUUUCCAAUUCAGAAACUUCAAGCAACUCAAUGAUUUUCAUGAGAGAAGAUAAAAUGACUUCUUCAAAAGAUAUGAAAUAUGAGUUGGAAGUUUAAAAGAAUUAAAUUCAAAGUCCCUUUGAAUUUAUUUUCAAAUUUGGAGUUAUUUGGGUUUUAUUCAAAUUAUUUUUAUUCAAAAAUAAACUAUAUGAAAAUAGGUUAACAUGAUUUCCUACAUCAGAAAAUUGGAGAGAAAUAAAUUUGAAUUAAUUUUGGUAUUUUUAAAAUGAUUUUUAUUAGGUUUUAUUGAACCAGCAGCACUCUUUGCUUUAUUUCAAUUUCUGUGUACUUUAUGUGAUGCUAGAAAAAUGUUCACGUUGUAGAAAAUCUUUUUCCGAAAAUUUUGAUAUAUAAUAUGCCUAUAUUAUAUUUUGCUUCUAUUUUCUUUUGUUUUAUUUUAGUUUGUCUGUGUUUUUUUUAAAAAAACUCUUCGAACAGUGCCAGGCCGAAGCCCAGCAGUGCUCUCUCUCUCUCUCCCGCUCUCCGCCGACUGGGCCGGCCCAGCUCCAGCUAGGCCACGGCCCAGCGCGCCCGCGCCCGUCCCCGACUCCGGUGGAGUCCGCCUCCGCCACGGAAUCGCCGCCGCCGCCCGUGCCCGUGCAGGACUCCCUCCGCCGCCUCUCCGUUGCCCCUCCUCCACGCCUCGGAGCCGCCCCGCCCUCCUAUAAAGCCGGAGCCCCGGGCCCUGAUCUCUCUCUUUCUCCUGGCAAGUCACCGCCGCACUCGCCGAGCCGCCGCCGCCAAGAUCCGCACCGCCGCCCGCUCGCGCAGCCAUCGCCCUCGACCACCGCCGACACCGCCAUCGCCUUCGCCUCGUCGAGCCGCGCCUCCCCGUGGUCUCGCCCGGGCUAGAGGACCACCGGAGUCGUCGCCCUGACCACACCCGAGCCGCCGCCGACGCUGUCCGCCGCCGCAGUAAGUCGCCGGAGCCCGGAGCCGCCUCGUCCGUCCGAUUCCCCUUCUACGGCUAGGAUUAGGUCUAGGUUUGUUUUUUUUUCUUCCUCUAAUUAGUGAACGCUCCUGAGAUUAGAUCUGGAGCGAACGGUUUUCAUUCAUUAGCUUCCCAUAGUGAAUGUUCGCUUUUAAAAUUUUUCCUUUUCUUUUUAAUUUCUGCCAGGGACCUAUUCGUAGUUUUAUUUUUUACAGAUUAGUCCCUCUGUUUCAAACCAUCACAACUUCUUGCCAGUUUAUCCAAAUCCAACAAAACCAGCGCCAAUUUCUUCAUUAUGAUCCCCUCUAUCCAGUAAUCCAACUCAAACAUGUUUUUGAAAUUUUAAAAUUUGAAUUAGAUCAGAUUUGAAUUUGAAUCUUCUUUUGAUCGUAACUUGAGUUUCGUAGCUCCGAUUUAGUUGAUUCUUUUUGCAAAUCGAAGCUCUUGAC